Non-coding RNA from Podarcis lilfordi (Lilford's wall lizard), 76 nucleotides. NCBI's taxonomy places the organism in Eukaryota, Metazoa, Chordata, Lepidosauria, Squamata, Lacertidae. The record is from the annotation of a GenBank genome assembly.
GCUUCUGGGAUACCUCAGUCGGCAGAGAAUGAGACUCUUAAAUUCAGGGUUGUGGGUUCGAGCCCCACACUGGGCA